Molecule: ribosomal RNA, 484 nt
Filed under: uncultured bacterium
Lineage: Bacteria
Description: partial 16S ribosomal RNA
Rfam family: Bacterial small subunit ribosomal RNA
Source: RNAcentral
AUUGAACGCUGGCGGCAGGCCUAACACAUGCAAGUCGAGCGGAUGAAGGGAGCUUGCUCCUGGAUUCCGCGGCGGACGGGUGAGUAAUGCCUAGGAAUCUGCCUGGUAGUGGGGGAUAACGUCCGGAAACGGGCGCUAAUACUGCAUACGUCCUGAGGGAGAAAGUGGGGGAUCUUCGGACCUCACGCUAUCAGAUGAGCCUAGGUCGGAUUAGCUAGUUGGUGGGGUAAAGGCCUACCAAGGCGACGAUCCGUAACUGGUCUGAGAGGAUGAUCAGUCACACUGGAACUGAGACACGGUCCAGACUCCUACGGGAGGCAGCAGUGGGGAAUAUUGGACAAUGGGCGAAAGCCUGAUCCAGCCAUGCCGCGUGUGUGAAGAAGGUCUUCGGAGUGUAAAGCACUUUAAGUUGGGAGGAAGGGCAGUAAGUUAAUACCUUGCUGUUUUGACGUUACCAACAGAAUAAGCACCGGCUAACUUCGUG